This 481-nucleotide ribosomal RNA is filed under the name uncultured bacterium. RNAcentral describes it as "partial 16S ribosomal RNA". It matches the Rfam family "Bacterial small subunit ribosomal RNA", at positions 28 to 507 of the family's 1533-position model. The record is from RNAcentral.
GAUGAACGCUGGCGGCGUGCUUAACACAUGCAAGUCGAACGAAGCACUUUAUUUGAUUUCCUUCGGGACUGAUUAUUUUGUGACUGAGUGGCGGACGGGUGAGUAACGCGUGGGUAACCUGCCUUGUACAGGGGGAUAACAGUUGGAAACGGCUGCUAAUACCGCAUAAGCGCACAGCAUCGCAUGAUGCAGUGUGAAAAACUCCGGUGGUAUAAGAUGGACCCGCGUUGGAUUAGCUAGUUGGUGAGGUAACGGCCCACCAAGGCGACGAUCCAUAGUCGACCUGAUAGGGUGACCGGCCACAUUGGAACUGAGACACGGCCCAAACUCCUACGGGAGGCAGCAGUGGGGAAUAUUGCACAAUGGGCGAAAGCCUGAUGCAGCGACGCCGCGUGAGCGAAGAAGUAUUUCGGUAUGUAAAGCUCUAUCAGCAGGGAAGAUAAUGACGUUACCUGACGAAGAAGCACCGGCUAAAUACGUG